GACGAACGCUGGCGGCGUGCCUAAUACAUGCAAGUCGAACGCAGUGGGGACGGGUGAGUAACACGUGGGUAACCUCCCAUCAGAGGGGAUAACACUUGGAAACAGGUGCUAAACCGAUAUUGAUGGCUGGACCCGCGGUUCAUUAGCUCGUUGGUGAGGUAACGGCGCACCAAGGCCACGAUGCCUAGCCGACCUGAUAGGGUGAUCGGCCAGACUGGGACUUAGACACGGCCCAGACUCCUAAGGGAGGCAGCAGUAGGGAAUCUUCGGCAAUGGACGAAAGUCUGACCGAGCCACGCCGCGUGAGUGAAGAAGGUUUUCGGAUCGUAAAACUCUGUUGUGAGAGAAGCGGUAUCUAACCAGAAAGCCACGGCUAACUACGUGCCAGCAGCCGCGGUAAUAC
RNAcentral lists this ribosomal RNA (403 nucleotides) under uncultured bacterium. Its description in RNAcentral is "partial 16S ribosomal RNA". It matches the Rfam family "Bacterial small subunit ribosomal RNA", at positions 28 to 526 of the family's 1533-position model. The record is from RNAcentral.